RNAcentral lists this ribosomal RNA (470 nucleotides) under uncultured bacterium. RNAcentral's name for it is "bacterial SSU rRNA". It matches the Rfam family "Bacterial small subunit ribosomal RNA", at positions 1 to 513 of the family's 1533-position model. The record is from RNAcentral.
AAAACCACGAGUUUGAUCGUGGCUCAGAACGAACGCUGGCGGCAGGCUUAACACAUGCAAGUCGAACGCUCGUAGCAAUACGGGAGUGGCGGACGGGUGAGUAACGCGUGGGAACGUGCCCUGAGGUUGGGAAUAACUGCGGGAAACUGCAGCUAAUACCUGAUGCGCCCCGAGAGGGGGAAAGAUUUAUCGCCUUGGGAGCGGCCCGCGUCGGAUUAGCUAGUUGGUGGGGUAACGGCCUACCAAGGCUUCGAUCCGUAGCUGGUCUGAGAGGACGAUCAGCCACACUGGGACUGAGACACGGCCCAGACUCCUACGGGAGGCAGCAGUGGGGAAUCUUGCGCAAUGGGGGCAACCCUGACGCAGCCAUGCCGCGUGAAUGAUGAAGGCCUUAGGGUUGUAAAGUUCUUUUGCCCGUGACGAUGAUGACGGUAACGGGAGAAUAAGCUCCGGCUAACUUCGUGCCAGCC